AUGGAGGACAUUAUGAGGGAGCGGAGACAACCGUUUUCUAUGACUUGUGAUUUUCCUAUUGCUAGCUUUGAACAUUGUAAUAGGGAAGCACAUAUGGCUGCUCAUGAGCUUGCGAGGGAUGAAGUGGCUUGCAGGCUGUUGGCCUGCUCGUUGGAGGUUGGUGCGACAGAUGUGGUUGGAUUGCUCCGGGUGAAAGCUAUACCAUCGGUCGAAGUGGGCGACGGCGGCGUCUUCGUCGCUCCCUCCUUAGAGGCGUUGCCUUUGGAGACUCAGACACUUUGUGUGGUUGGUGGAAGUCGAUGCAGCGGCUUCGAGUUUGCUGCUUCGAUGCCGGGUAGCCAUCCCGGUCUAUGGUGCGGCGGUGGCCCUAAGAGGUGUUGCUAUGGCUUUGCUCCGUGUUGGUGGCUUUCCGGCGCUUCCCGGGUGGCCCAGUCUGUCAUGUGGUUUUUGUUUGUUCCAAUCGACGCGGCCUGGCCCAUCAAGAGAGGAGAUCGAAACCGGAACUUCGGCCGUGUCCGUCCGUGUCUGACGAACCGUACACGGAGCAAUCCGUGUCGAGCCCGUGAACGAUGGUAUUAUACCUCCCACCCGACCUCCACCUCGACGAGGGUGGAUCGAUCAUCAAUGGAUAUGGAGCAGCCCAGGAAGAAGGUGGGUCUGCGCAUCGUCCUGCACCUCGACGAGGGACUGGUCGCGGAGGUCCUCGCCCGGCUGCCGGCCAAGUGCGUCCUCCGCUUCCGCGCCGUCUGCAAAGAGUGGCUCCGCAUCAUCGACAGCACGGCCUUCCUCGCGGCGCACGCGCGCUGUCGCCCGCUCGAGCUCCUCGUCUACACCAGAAGGGAGGCCCAGGUGGUUGGCCCCGACGGCCUCCCGCAGCCCGCCACCGAGCUGGACCUGGACGCCGUCGCCGUCCCCGCCCAUCGGCCGCCGGCGGCGACGCGGCGGACCGUCGCGACCUUCCCUGACAGCUUCGACGGUGGGCUGAACCUCUACUGCUCCCUGCUGGCCUCGUGCGACGGCCUCCUCCUCAUCCGCGACGCCGCCCGGCAGUACCUCGUGUUUAACCCCGCCACCUGGCAGUGGAGCGACCUGCCGCGGCUGGCCGUACAGCAGGGCGGCCGCGCCGUGCCACAGGAGUCCGGCUUCUACUUCCACCAGCCCUCCGGCGAGUACCGACUGCUGUGCCACGUCUCGUACGAGUACGGCGAGUUCGACGCCCAAGCGCCACACUACUGCGUGUUGUCGACCGGCGCCAAGGAGCCGCGGCGAUUGAUGAGCGUGCAACCCACGUCCAUGGAGACGGAGGAGACCAUCGCCUACCACCAGUGGAUACCUAACUCCGGAUGCUUCAUGAACCUUAUGACGCCGGCGGUGCUUCACGGCCGCCUGCACUGGCUGCAGCACAUGGAGGCCGGCCUCACCGACCAGAUGGUGGCGUUCGACACGGCGGCCGAGACGUUCCGCCGGAUGCCGCCUCCGCCCGUGACCCGCAAGAUGCACUCGCACCUGCUCGUGGCGGACGGGUCGCUCAUGGCGGCUGAACUGGGCCACCGGUUCAUGGACCUCUGGUUUCUCGAGGGCUACGGCUGUGGCGCGGCCGAGGGGACGUGGGAGCACCGGCACCGCGUUGACAUGCGGUGGCCGAUCACAGGGCCGGUGCUCGUGGCGGGUGGCGACCGAGGGGACGUCGUCCUGGGACAUAACCAAGGCGUCGUGGCGUACAACCUGAGGAGCAGGACCGUCAGGCAGGUGGUCGACGUCGACGAGUCAGGAGACGACCCUCUUCUCCCAUCACGGUAUGUGUUUCGUGAGAGCCUCGUUCGGCACGGCUUCUUCCAGGCGCGGCGGCAUCCCGGCUUGCCGUCGUUCAGAUCCUGGGAUUGUUCAGUUGAGAGAAAGGAUGAGGAGUUUGUGUCGUGGCUCUCUAUGAACAAAGUCAAACCCAGAUCAACUCCAGUGAGUAAAUUGGCAAACAGAGAUCAGAAUCGGACCAGUGUUUCUGAACUGAAUUUUCGAGUUGAUCUACCCCAUUUUGAUGGCACUAAUCCACGGCUCUGGCAGACCAGAUGUGAAGAUCAAUUCCAGUUGUGGAGUGUGUCAACCCAGCUGUGGGUGUCAACGGCCUCAGCUCAGUUUGAAGGGGCAGCAGCUCGAUGGCUGGAGUCUAUAGAGGACGAGCACCUAAUAUCUGCUGGGACGAAUUCUGCAACCUAUUACAAACACGAAUGGAUCCCCUUCCCCCCUUCCCCUUCUCGCCCUAGCCGCCCAGUUCCCCUCCCCUGCACGUCGGCCGGGGUCCGGUCUUCCUCCUCUCCUCUCGCCGGUGCUCACUCCCUCCCCUCCCCUACCUGCUCGCAGGUGGUGUUUUCUCCGCCGCCUUCGCCGCUGCCUGUGCUUGGAUCUCGAUUCUGGGCCCUUGCGUCCGAUGAGGAGGAUUCACGGUCGGCUGCCUGCUCCCCCCGCUGCCCUUUGCCCUGCCCUGGGGGGAUGGCGCAGCCCCUCGUCGCUCCCCGCUCCCGCAAGUUUGCUCCUGGUGGCCGGGGUCGGUCGGUGGAUGCGGCUCCGUCUGCUGCCAGCUGGAUCCCGGUUUCGCGCCGGCGGCGCAAGUCCGGUAAGUUUGCUGCUGCUUCCCCUGGGCCUGGUAUCCUGGGUAGUGCUCCUGAUGGGGAGCUCAGAGGCCCCCAUCUUUCUCUCCUGCUGCCUCCUCGGCGGCCUCGUCGGCGGCGGCGGCGUGGUCGGGGCCGCUGGUGGCGAUGGUGUCGGUUUCCAGCUUCCUCUUCUGAUCUGCGGCGUCACCGUCUCCCCAUCCGUCGCCUCGUCAGAUCUAGCCCUCCUCCCCCUCUUCUCCUUCCUUUCGCUGCGAUGCUCGCCAUCGAUAAGUCGCGUGGCUCCUCUUGCGAGGCGGUCUCGGGCAGCAAGCGCCGCCGUGAGGAUUCUCCUGCCUUUGCGGUGGACCUGGAGCUCGAGGCUUCGCUCCGCUCCAAGCUGGAGGCAGAGCAGGCGGCGCGCGAGCAGGUGGCUCGUGACCGUGCGGCCUGGGCUUCAGGUCCGGAGUGGUUGCAGCGCUCGGAGAGGGAGCACGCGCCUGGAUCUGGUCCGCAGAGAUCUAGAUCUGGCCCCUCCCCCUCUCCGGCGCUAGAACCGUGGCAGGCGGCGGCGGCCUCUGGCGGUGGGGUUUCGUCCUCAUCUGCCUCCUUGCCUGCCUCUGGCGUGGGGCGUGGCGCGUCUACUCUGACGCGUUUCCCCCUCCUCCUCGCCCGGCUGGUGUGGGUGCUGGAUCUCGUCCGCCACCCCGGUCCUUCGUUGGGCCGGCGCAUCGGCCGCCCGGCCCGGCCUCUGGGGCGCCUCCCUCUUCGGGAAUGGGUGAUGGGCUUCUUCCCCCUCCCUUGUCACUUCCGCAACCCCGCCCUUCCUCUGCUCCCCCAAGCAACCCCUCUGCGCUCACCUGCUUCGCUUGCCACAGGCCUGGCCAUUUCCAAUCUCACUGCUCCAACCCUCCGUUCUGCUUGA
This 3510-nucleotide ribosomal RNA is filed under the name Triticum aestivum (bread wheat). RNAcentral's name for it is "partial small subunit ribosomal RNA". Lineage: Eukaryota; Viridiplantae; Streptophyta; Magnoliopsida; Poales; Poaceae. The record is from RNAcentral.